UGUGAACAAUGUUCAAGAAUCCUUUGUCCUAUAUUAUCUGAUAGAUUGCACUAAUGACAUCUAUGGAUACUGCCAUUACCAGGGCUUUCUGCAGCUUUUUUAGUCAUCUUUCUUGUCUGAUAUCUUGCUUUUCCAAGAUUUUCUGAUAUUUUCUGAGAUGGUGCAUGUUGGUUGGAGCCCAUCAGCUUAUCACUUUAAACAUUAUAAUUGCGAAGGAUUGACACUCUAUCUGCUAGUUUUACAUACUCUAUGAACAAAACUAAUCAUUAUACAAUGUCCUUCAAUUUUCUCAUUCGACAUUCAUGUAUUCUUGGUACUGAGGUACUCUGUGAAUCUUUUGUACAUGCAUCAAGGUGAGAUAGAACAAGAUAAAUCCAAGGUAAUAUUUAGUCGUCCCUUGAAUGGUCUUUAUCAGCAGCAUGCAUGAACAUUUAUGAGCUUUAUCCGAAAAUGUAGCUCAUAAUGUUUGAUGGUGAUGGGACUUCCUUGCAAGAACAGUAGGCUGCCAUGUCAACUAUUUUCUCAGAGUAAGGUUAAACUAAUCUGAACUAUUUCAGGGACAUCAUUUCUGAGAGGAAACUGCAGCUCAGAGGAUCAAAGAACAAGUAGUAAUAUUCUGACCUCAAUUUUCUAUAGAGCUCUUUCCUCGAUUUGGCAUUUUUAAUGGUAGAUUAAGUAGUCUUCCCUGCUAGUUCUCAUUCAUGUGUUUUGUCAGUCUCUAUUGUUGUGUUCUAUUACUGUCGGUGAUGUAUAGGAAUAACUGUUUAUAUUCUUGAUCAUACACCUUAAAGUGUAAACAUCAUUUCUGUGGAUUCUCCUCUUGUUUGAUUACCUUUUUAUCAGCAGAUUCAGCAAUAAAAAACGGAUGAAUUUCCCAAGAAACAAAGCUUGCAAUGCUAGAACAUCUGUGGGGCAUAAGCUUUGUGAAGGGAAUACUGAUUAAGAUGGUAUAAACAUGUUCAAAGAAAUUUAUAAAUUCUCUGGUUAGAAAGAAUAGGUGGUGAAUUAGAAUUGGUCAAUAUGAGAAGAUAUGGGCUAAAACUAAGAAAGCUUUACUAGAAAUAACAAAAAGAGAUAAAAAUGCCCUUGAUUGAAUUAUAAAUAUUUUCUUAGAGCAGAAAAGGUAAAUGUGGUCAAAGAAUUAUAUAAAAUGUCAAAUAUCCAAAGUAAUUACUUUGAUAGCAUUUCCAGAUUGGUCUGUUUCAACUCCCAGUUGAUCACAAUUGGAGCUUUUGACAAGUCCAAGUAUUCUAUUCUGUGUUUCCUUGUCAGUCAUCAUUUACUUCUCAAAAGUGAUGGGAGACCUUCUGCAAAUCUAUGUAAUAGCUGCAGUAUCCCACAGGGCCCCUUCCAAAUUGGAUGAUAACCUUCAUCUAGUCAAAGAAUCAUGGCACCCCUUCAGGGAAGGUGGAUUUGGAUGUCUGGUAGAUGAGACAAUCACAUCAAGCAAUGCAUCCCAAAAGCAUACAGGUGUUGGGCAGCCUUAAUUGCAGUAGAUGAGACAGCUCAGUUCUAGCUGCAGCUAAGAUUUCAUUAGUUUGGUCUCUUUAAUGUUACCAUGACUCAGUCCAGACAUUUGCAAGUUCUUCAUCUGAUCUGAAAACAACCUUUUACUGUUCAAUUUUCCGUGUUUUGUUUACUUGUACAUCUCUUUAUGUAUGAACUGAAAACAAGAAGAAAGAGAACUGAAUGCUCUUGGUUUAGUAAUUGAUAGAAUAUAUUUUUCCGAUCUUAUAUAGUUGGGGACAUUACGUUCGUUAGUGUCACUGUAUCCAUCUGUCUAUGAAUUAUUGUUGAAUGAUGUGGUUGUGGUUAUGAUUGACAGUACCUCUUCAGGUUGCCUGUAGCUGUAGGUGGUAGUGUGUCUGAGUGUGAUGCAUGGAAUUAAUGGCUAUCAAACAUGCAACAGUUUUAUUCUAGCUUUAUCUGUGAUAGAUGCAUGGUCUUACAGUGACAUCUGAAAUAGAAAGCACUCAACAGAAAUGAUCGAGUGGUUGUCACUGUUGUACAAAGCUAUUGGUGAGUGGUCAACCUCUUUUGAUUGAUUUGUCUUUCAUGGCAUGUCUCUAACUGGGUUUUGUAGGAAUGAGACUCAGCAAGGAGCGAAACCAAUGCAAGUAAAAGUAUAUACAGAAACGCUUUUGCAGUUCAGAGUUGUUUGCUCCACCAAAUUCAGUGACUGCAUUCUGUGGAGGUUUGAUAUUGACCUCAGUAUGGCACCUUCAAGACUGAAGACAAGCAUUAGGAAAUUUGCACUGCCAAAUCCACAAAUGGAGAGAUCAAUUUAUGCUCGGGGAAAGCUUGAAAACUAGUGAUUAUUGUUGUUGAAGUAUCUCAAGAGAGGCUAAAGUGAUCAUGAAGUUCAUUCACCAUAAAGUUACUGUGGAAAUCAAGAAUCACAUGAGAGACCAUUUCCAUCAACAAUUAUUAUGAGCUGAUACAGAAAAACUCAAACAGAACCAUUGGCACUCUCUGCAAGCAAAGAGCUCCAACCUUCAAAAGAAGACUAAAAUACCAAUCUGUUUAGAUGCAAAAAUGGAAGGCAUAGACAGUCAUAUAAUGUAGUUGCAAUAGAGGGCCACAACUGCCGAAACCAUGAUAACCUUCCUGUCGUUUUCCACAUUAAGAUUUCAUGACAAAGAGAUUGACCUUCUCCGCAAGUCAUAUGACCACACAUUGCUCUACUAUCGGCGAGUUCAUCUAGUGCAACUAAUCACUCUUCUAGUCCAUCUAUUCUCAAGAAGCCUGCUUACUCAGAAUGAGACUUCAUCAUUUGGCUGGUGCGAUAUUCCUUCUAGUGCUUCUUCUUUUGUAAUAUUGACAAAACAAGAAAUUCUUCCAAUUAAAUAUUCACCUAAUUAUCUUCAAUUAUGGUAAUUUUCGCCA
This is a long non-coding RNA of Musa acuminata AAA Group (dessert banana), 2886 nucleotides long. RefSeq lists it as uncharacterized. The transcript has 4 exons. The record is from RefSeq and is a predicted model, not a curated record. NCBI's taxonomy places the organism in Eukaryota, Viridiplantae, Streptophyta, Magnoliopsida, Zingiberales, Musaceae.